RNAcentral lists this ribosomal RNA (194 nucleotides) under uncultured Acidobacteriota bacterium. Its description in RNAcentral is "uncultured Acidobacteria bacterium partial 16S ribosomal RNA". It matches the Rfam family "Bacterial small subunit ribosomal RNA", at positions 253 to 446 of the family's 1533-position model. Lineage: Bacteria; Pseudomonadati; Acidobacteriota. The record is from RNAcentral.
UGAGGUAACGGCUCACCAAGGCAACGAUCAGUAUCCGGCCUGAGAGGGCGGACGGACACACAGGGACUGAGACACGGCCCAGACUCCUACGGGAGGCAGCACUGGGGAAUUGUUCGCAAUGGGCGCAAGCCUGACGACGCAACGCCGCGUGGAGGAUGAAGAUUUUCGGAUCGUAAACUCCUGUCGAAUGGGAC